UGGCUAGAUAGCUCAGCUGGUAGAGCAGAGGACUGAAGAUCCUUGUGUCGUCGGUUCGAUCCCGGCUCUGGCCAUCC
This 77-nucleotide transfer RNA is filed under the name Chlamydia trachomatis. Its description in RNAcentral is "tRNA-Phe(gaa)". It matches the Rfam family "tRNA". From Rfam's summary of the family: Transfer RNA (tRNA) molecules are approximately 80 nucleotides in length. Their secondary structure includes four short double-helical elements and three loops (D, anti-codon, and T loops). The record is from RNAcentral. Lineage: Bacteria; Pseudomonadati; Chlamydiota; Chlamydiia; Chlamydiales; Chlamydiaceae. RNAcentral also lists the same sequence under 32 other names.